This 468-nucleotide ribosomal RNA is filed under the name uncultured bacterium. RNAcentral describes it as "partial 16S ribosomal RNA". It matches the Rfam family "Bacterial small subunit ribosomal RNA", at positions 28 to 507 of the family's 1533-position model. The record is from RNAcentral.
GACGAACGCUGGCGGCGUGCUUAACACAUGCAAGUCGAACGGAAAGGCCCUGCUUUUGUGGGGUGCUCGAGUGGCGAACGGGUGAGUAACACGUGAGUAACCUGCCCUUGACUUUGGGAUAACUUCAGGAAACUGGGGCUAAUACCGGAUAGGAGCUCCUGCUGCAUGGUGGGGGUUGGAAAGUUUCGGCGGUUGGGGAUGGACUCGCGGCUUAUCAGCUUGUUGGUGGGGUAGUGGCUUACCAAGGCUUUGACGGGUAGCCGGCCUGAGAGGGUGACCGGCCACAUUGGGACUGAGAUACGGCCCAGACUCCUACGGGAGGCAGCAGUGGGGAAUAGUGCACAAUGGGCGGAAGCCUGAUGCAGCAACGCCGCGUGCGGGAUGACGGCCUUCGGGUUGUAAACCGCUUUCGCCUGUGACGAAGCGUGAGUGACGGUAAUGGGUGAAGAAGCACCGGCUAACUACGUG